UUUACCUUUGUAAUAACAGCUUGCACAAGUAAAUGUUAAAAAUGCUGCUAUCCUAAAUUCCCUCUCUUUAGAAUACUUGAAUUGCAACAUCAAUGACAGAUUAAAAAGCUGAAGAAGAGCAUGUGCAAUUAAAUGGGCUUUGAGCCACUGAACUCAUAGGUUUUGCACAAAGAGCAGAAAUUAAGCAGACAGGAAUUAAUUCAUCUGGGUUUUGUUGCUGCUUUUCCUUGCAUGCCCAGCAGUCAGAAGGGAAAAAAUCUUAGUGAUUUAAGGCUGUGGAUUUCUGACAAUGUCAGUGCUUUGUUCCUGAAUGUUAUGUUGGAUACAUGGACUGAAGGAGUUUCUUCACCUGAAGAUGAUCCCUGACUGCCCAUGGCUGUGCUGGCUCAUUUUUCCACUCUACAGACAGACCAAAUAAUCAGGUUUCAACUGCCCACAAUUAAAGGCAAUAAAUUAGAGAGAAAAUGAGGAAGAGCUGCAGCAGAACGCUGGAGGUAAAGGUGAGGUACUGGGUGUGGGCUGGUGGCUGCUGGAGCUGUCAGGGACUUCCCAGCCAGGGCUCUGGCUUUUAUUUUACAGCUGAGGCAGAGAAACUUCAAUACUGCAGAAAGGUCAGUCAAAACAAAGACAGUUUUUUCCUUUUCAGUGCAAAACAAGACUCUGCAUUCUGGCAGAUAAAGACAGGGCAGAAUGUAUAUUGUUGUAAUUAUAUAAAGUAAAUAGUGUCUGACUUCUUUCUAAUUUGUUCCUAGAAAAAAUGUAGAAGUCUUGGUGAACCUAGUUGAAAUUGAGGUGGGAAAUGAGCUAAAGUAAUAUGUUUCUAACCAGGAUUUACAGAGCUAAGUAAAUGAGAAAAUGUUUUUCUGUAAACUUCAGCAGAAACCACAUUAGGUAAAUCAGUUCCAGUUCCACAGCAAAGAGGGGACAGCUGAGCCCACAGUAACAGGUACUUCAUAGUAAAAAAUACUACAUUUGAUUUUUAAAUGCAUAUGGUUUGAAAACAAAAGCAGCCUAUAAAUAAAUGGCCAUAUGCUUUAUCUACUAGUCUAAUUCAGCUUUUUGACAGCCAUUCAUUGCUUUGUGUUUUCUGUGAGUACAAAGUGUAAUUACAGCCUCUGCUCUGCAGCAUUUACAGGGUCUGGUGACCUUCAGAUUCUUUGAGGAGCUGUCCUUGUCCCCAGGAGGGAAAGCUGGCUGGCCUGAGCAGCAACGUGGGCUUUUUGUGAGCAGGCUGCAGUUUUCCUGCAGUCCCAGGAUGGUGUUUCCACUGGGAUGGAUGCGCUGGAUUUGAAAAGAGCAUUUGCCUGACGGUGGCCUUUGCCAUGGAAUUGCCUCACCACACCCAGCAGCUCCUGCUCUGAGCCCUGUCCCACCUUAAGGAGUUCCCUGUGCUGUGCCAUGGAGUGGAGGAAACACAGCUUGGUCUGAGCUGUGGGAACGCCCUGGCCCUGGUGGAGCACAAGGAGCACCUGCACCCAGACCCCUGCACAGAUUGCCUCAGGACUGGCUGAAGAACAGGAGCUAGUCAAGACCAGCUGAAGUCCACAGGGAUAGCAUCCCACUCUUCCGAGGGAAAAGUGAGUCCUUAAUGUUUUCCCAGCCUUCCUCACUAUCAGACUGAACCUUUUCUUGGAUGCAGAAGAGCAGAAAGUAAAGCAGUUUUAGUGGUUUGUGAACUCCCUGGAGCAGCUCUGAGGGCUCAGAGGUUUCUCUCAUUCCUAAAAGAAACAAGCAGCUUGUUAGAAGGAAUACACACACCUGUUUUUGUUAUGAAACAGAAUUAUCUCCCAUAAAGCAUCUCAUUUAAUUACC
Pyrgilauda ruficollis (rufous-necked snowfinch) is the source of this 1812-nucleotide long non-coding RNA. RefSeq lists it as uncharacterized. NCBI's taxonomy places the organism in Eukaryota, Metazoa, Chordata, Aves, Passeriformes, Passeridae. The record is from RefSeq and is a predicted model, not a curated record. The transcript is spliced from 4 exons.